This 483-nucleotide ribosomal RNA is filed under the name uncultured bacterium. Its description in RNAcentral is "bacterial SSU rRNA". It matches the Rfam family "Bacterial small subunit ribosomal RNA", at positions 30 to 507 of the family's 1533-position model. The record is from RNAcentral.
AUUGAACGCUGGCGGCAUGCCUUACACAUGCAAGUCGAACGGCAGCACGGGAGCAAUCCUGGUGGCGAGUGGCGAACGGGUGAGUAAUAUAUCGGAACGUGCCCAGUCGUGGGGGAUAACGUAGCGAAAGCUACGCUAAUACCGCAUACGAUCUAUAGAUGAAAGCGGGGGAUCGCAAGACCUCGCGCGAUUGGAGCGGCCGACAUCAGAUUAGGUAGUUGGUGAGGUAAAGGCUCACCAAGCCGACGAUCUGUAGCUGGUCUGAGAGGACGACCAGCCACACUGGGACUGAGACACGGCCCAGACUCCUACGGGAGGCAGCAGUGGGGAAUUUUGGACAAUGGGCGCAAGCCUGAUCCAGCAAUGCCGCGUGCAGGAUGAAGGCCUUCGGGUUGUAAACUGCUUUGUACGGAACGAAACGGUGAGCUCUAAUACAGUUUGCUAAUGACGGUACCGUAAGAAUAAGCACCGGCUAACUACGUG